GUGAGGAAUAUUGCGCAAUGGAGGCAACUCUGACGCAGCCAUGCCGCGUGCAGGAAGAAGGCGCUACGCGUUGUAAACUGCUUUUAACCGGGAAGAAACCCCAGGACGUGUCCUGGGUUGACGGUACCGGAGGAAUAAGCACCGGCUAACUUCGUGCCAGCAGCCGCGGUAAUACGAAGGGUGCAAGCGUUAUCCGGAUUCAUUGGGUUUAAAGGGUGCGUAGGCGGAGCGUUAAGUCAGUGGUGAAAUCCCGCAGCUUAACUGUAGACUUGCCAUUGAUACUGGCGCUCUUGAGUGCGCUUGAAGUGGGCGGAAUGUGCCGUGUAGCGGUGAAAUGCUUAGAUAUGGCACAGAACACCAAUUGCGAAGGCAGCUCACUAAGGCGAUACUGACGCUGAGGCACGAAAGCGUGGGGAUCGAACAGGAUUAGAUACCCCUGUAGUCC
Molecule: ribosomal RNA, 445 nt
Filed under: uncultured bacterium
Lineage: Bacteria
Description: bacterial SSU rRNA
Rfam family: Bacterial small subunit ribosomal RNA
Source: RNAcentral